This 303-nucleotide ribosomal RNA is filed under the name uncultured bacterium. Its description in RNAcentral is "partial 16S ribosomal RNA". It matches the Rfam family "Bacterial small subunit ribosomal RNA", at positions 507 to 807 of the family's 1533-position model. The record is from RNAcentral.
AGCAGUAGCCGCGGUAAUACGGAGGGUGCAAGCGUUAAUCGGAAUUACUGGGCGUAAAGCGUGCGUAGGCGGUUCGUUAAGUCUGUUGUGAAAGCCCCGGGCUCAACCUGGGAAUGGCAAUGGAUACUGGCGAGCUAGAGUGUGUCAGAGGAUGGUGGAAUUCCCGGUGUAGCGGUGAAAUGCGUAGAGAUGUGGAGGAAUACCGAUGGCGAAGGCAGCCCCCUGGGCCAAUACUGACGCUCAUGCACGAAAGCGUGGGGAGCAAACAGGAUUAGAUACCCGAGUAGUCCCUGUCUCUUAUAC